GAUCAUGGCUCAGGAUGAACGCUGGCGGCGUGCCUAACACAUGCAAGUCGAACGAAGCACUUCUGGUUUGAGAUUCGUCAAGAACUGGAUUUGACUUAGUGGCGGACGGGUGAGUAAUGUAUGAGCAACUUGCCUUUCAGAGGGGGACAACAGUUGGAAACGACUGCUAAUACCGCAUAACGUAUUUUAAGGGCAUCCUUGAAAUACCAAAGGAGCAAUCCGCUGAAAGAUGGGCUCAUAUCUGAUUAGUUAGUUGGCAGGGUAACGGCCUACCAAGACUGCGAUCAGUAGCCGGACUGAGAGGUUGAACGGCCACAUUGGGACUGAGAUACGGCCCAGACUCCUACGGGAGGCAGCAGUGGGGAAUAUUGGGCAAUGGGCGAAAGCCUGAACCCCAGCAACGCCGCGUGAAGGAAGAAGGUCUUCGGAUUGUAAACUUCUUUUAUGAGGGACGAAGGACGUGACGGUACCUCAUGAAUAAGCCACGGCUAACUACGUGCCAGCAGCUGC
This 510-nucleotide ribosomal RNA is filed under the name uncultured bacterium. RNAcentral describes it as "bacterial SSU rRNA". It matches the Rfam family "Bacterial small subunit ribosomal RNA", at positions 15 to 518 of the family's 1533-position model. The record is from RNAcentral.